AACUAUAAAUAUUUUAGUAACAUUUUAUAGCAACCCAAUAUUCACAUUUAUAUUAUGUUAAACUAAUGUCACCCCGUUUGCCAACCUAUAAUGGCAUUAGUGAUCAAAUAUACAUAUUUGAUUUUUAACAUGAAUCUUAGUGCUCUACAUUACUUAUACAUAUACACAAGCAUAAGACUCUUAACCGUAAGCGGAGUGACCUUGGGAGAAGGUACAGCUACUGAAAUGCCAUAGUACUUACCAAGAAGAUGAGCAUACGUAGACAACUCAAUCUAGGUCCCAACUGCCUCUAAAUCUGAAAACAUGAAGUUUAAAAGAGUGAGUAUGAAACUUAGUGAGUGAACAUAAGAAGGGAACAAGCAACCGAUACGGAAACAUUUCGAAAACAUGAUGCACUUUUAUUAAAAACAAUGCAAUUUAGUUUAAUUUCUUGUAAAACCCCAUAAUUCAACCUUUGAUUAUUAAAUCCCUUAGUGUUGAAAGAUCCAUGAUAAACCAUGAAGUUGAAAAGAAUGAAAGUUUCAGCAAAUGUCCAAGCAAGACAAGCAAAACAAAGGGUUUCUCGCUGCAGCGAAAAAGCAUUCUAUGUUUGCAUAUAUUUUUGUUUUUCAAGAAUAUCUUACACUACAGAAGUCCAAUUGACAUGAGUUUUAAGUCAUUAGAAAGCUAAGAGGGUGGGCUACAGCUUUGAUGUUUACCACUUUGCCCAGUUCUGAUCGGAAGGUGGUGAAAAUCAUUGUCAAAGUGAAUGCACUGCACCACAAUUUUGAAACCACCCAAGAGUUUCUCACUGCAACGAGAAUCUAUUUUCACUGCAGCGAAAUUUCUCGCUACAGCGAGAAUCCAUUCUUGCUGCAACAAAAUUCAGAGCAUGGAUUAAGGCUGCCUACCCGAGAGUUUCUCGCUGCAGCGAAAAUGAAUCUCGCUGCAAUGAGAAACAGAACAAUUUAGUUGAAGGGGUCUUGUUACAUCAAAAAGCCAUUUUCUUGCUUAAAUGAAAAGCAAUUUGAGAGCAAUUAACAAUGCCAACAUACAACACAUUCACAAAUAUUUUCAUAAACUUUCUAUAACAUAUAUAUAUAUAUAUAUAUAUAUAUAUAUAUAUACAUACAUACAUACAUCAUCAUGCAUACCAUCCCGCCACACUCAGCUUAUGUGCACUCUGUACUCGCACAUAGCCAGGUUAUCAUCAGCUCAUGUGCACUCUCACACCGUACAUAGUUGGGUCAUCAUCAUCUCAUGUGCACUCCCACACCGCACAUAGCUCGGUCAUUAUUAUCACACAAAAAGAGUAUCCAAAACAUAAUAUACAUAUCAAUAUAAUGUGAUAAAACAUGAACUAUUCAUAUUGCACAUUUCACAAGAUAGAAACAUUUCAUCAAGGGUUUGUUCUCCAAGUAUAUUUUUUUAAAGCAAAAACAAAUGAAACUUUCCAAUGAUUUAUUUAAACAUGUAGGCACUUCCCAAAACAUUUUGAAUGGCAAGUUCACUCACCUUACGAUAGCGGGAUAUUACAUCGCUAUUUGUUGGGAGGCAUAUCUAGCUAUUCCUACUUGUCAGUUGCUCGUUAUUUUCCUCGGCACACCACCAUAGUACGUUACCUUUACUGUUGCACUUCUUAGCAACAAUCCCAAUUCAAUAUCUUUAGCGUACAUCAUUUAUACUUCCCUUUUUCAUUCAAUCACGAAUCCUUAUUCAACUUAACUUAUCUUGACACAAUUUUUACCAAAAUUGCUUUUAUCCCUUGCUUGUGUAAUUCUUUAAAUAAUGAUUACCGACAACUUGUUUAUGACUCUAACACAUAUAUUAAUCUUUUCUAAGGAUAUUUAUCAAGUUCAACCAUCCUUUCCACAACAACCACAAUUUCUCACAAUAUGCCACUUAAAAUGUCAACUACACAACAAUACCCAAUUUCUCAAGAUUCCUCAACUACACUUAAAACAUCAUUUGUCUUUACCUUUAUGGUUGCUUGACCCGUACUUGCACUCCAAUAUUCUUUCAAAACAUUAAUCAUCAAGCUGCCAAUAUGAUUCACACAUUAUUUCUCCAAAGAUUUAACCAACCAUGAGCUUAAAACACAAAAAUCCUUACCUUAGCUUGCUUGAAUUACAAAACCAAGCUUUUCUUCCUUUCUUUCUUUAUCUUUCUUCUUCUCCUAGGGUUUAGAUGUGCUGUAAAUUGGGGUUAGAAGCUGCAGGUUUAGUGCCCAAGAAGUUUGGAGAAGAAAGAAGUAAAAAAAGAAAGGAAAUAAAAAGAAAUAAGGGAAAUCACAUGAAAAAUUUGAUUUUCAUGAACUUGAAAUGAAAAUGGCAUUGGAAGCUUCAAGAAGAAGAAGAAAAUAUCUUGCUGGAGGAGAUAAGGA
This 2362-nucleotide long non-coding RNA is filed under the name Theobroma cacao (cacao). Its description in RNAcentral is "long non-coding RNA (TCAC_LNC000828)". The record is from RNAcentral. Lineage: Eukaryota; Viridiplantae; Streptophyta; Magnoliopsida; Malvales; Malvaceae.